Non-coding RNA from Podarcis lilfordi (Lilford's wall lizard), 81 nucleotides. Lineage: Eukaryota; Metazoa; Chordata; Lepidosauria; Squamata; Lacertidae. The record is from the annotation of a GenBank genome assembly.
GCAUAAUAUAGGUUAGUUGGUUAGAGCAUGGUGCUGAUAACACCAAGGUCACAGGUUCGAUCCCCAUAAGGGACAGCUGCA